CCCCCUCCCCAUCCCCUCUACCUCCGCCGCCUGCCACUCCCACGCGAGAAUCCCCCGAUGCCCCCCACGCACCCGCUCCCUUCCCACCGCCUUGCAAAAUUCACGCUGCUCAGGGAGCCCCCACAGCCGCAGGGCGGCCCCCGGUGCGGUCCCCCCACCAUGCCCGGUGCCGUGCCCCGCUCACCGCCGGUGCCGCGCCCGCUCCGCUCCGCCGCGGUCCCACCCGGGCUUUUUAUCCGCCCUCCCAAGCAAAACAGGCGCGCCCGCUGAUUGGCCGCCGCCUCAGCUAAUGGCCGCGCGCGCCGCUGCCGCUGGGGCACGUGCCGGUUCGCGCCCCCCCCCCGCCUCACGGGACCCCCGCCGGGACCCCUCACGGGACCCCCCCAUAUCCCCACAGGAUCUCCGGGGGAUCCCCCGGUAUCCUCCCCCGGGAUCUCCAUGGGAUACUCUCGAUAUCCCCCCCGGAUCCUCCCGAUAUCUCCUCACGGGACCCCCCAGUAUCUUCUCGUGAGAUCCCACGGUACCCCCCGACAUCUUCUCCCGGGAGCCGUGUCGGGAACAGCGCCCGCGGCAUUGCUCAUCUGCUGUGGCUACGGGCACCGGAUCCGUCCUGCGAAGUCUGCCCGUCCUCCUCAAGGAGAGAUGCCAGAGAAGCUGCUCCACCCCAUUAAAAGGGCAUCCUGGGAGCAGGCAUCCCGCACAGCCUCACGGCUGAACACCCUGACGGCACAGCUGGACAGGGGCAAUGAGCCCUCGAGACACCACAGCCCACGAUACAGCUCAAUUAAAGAGUCACAGAAAGGUUUGGGUUGGAAGGAACCUAAAAGAUCAUCUCAUUCCACCCCCUGGCAUGGGCAGGGACACCUUCCAGCAGACCAGGUUGCUCCAAGCCCCAUCCACCCUGGCCUUGGACAGUUCCAGGGGUGGGACAGCCACAGCUUCUGUGCACAACCUCUGCCAGGGCUUUGGCACAAAGAAUUUCUUCCCCAUAUCCAGUCUAACCCUACCCUCUAUCAGCCAUUCCCUCUUGUCCUGUCACUCCAUCCCUUUUCCAAUGUCCCUCUCCAGCUCUCUUAG
Molecule: long non-coding RNA, 1077 nt
Filed under: Parus major (Great Tit)
Lineage: Eukaryota; Metazoa; Chordata; Aves; Passeriformes; Paridae
Description: lncRNA (ENSPMJG00000019032.1)
Source: RNAcentral